This 879-nucleotide ribosomal RNA is filed under the name Endecameris sp. ZJUH 20220006. RNAcentral describes it as "12S ribosomal RNA". Lineage: Eukaryota; Metazoa; Arthropoda; Insecta; Hymenoptera; Figitidae. The record is from RNAcentral.
AAAAAUUUAAUUUAUAUUUAAAAGUUAAUUUAAAAUUUUAAAUUAAAUAUAUUAAUAUUUGUGAAAAAUUAAUUAAAUAAAUUAAUUAAUAUACUUAAUGAAAAAAAUUAAUUAUUAAAGAGAUUUAUAAUUUGUAAAUAUUUUUAUUUAUAAAUAAAUAAAGUGCCAGCAUUAGCGGUUAAACUUUAUAUAAAAAAUUAAUUUAUUUAUAUAUAAUGAAGUAUAAAAUUUAAUUUUAAUUUAAAAGUUAAAAAUUUUUAAAUAAUUAGUAAAAUAAUAAAAUUUAAAAUAAAAUUUUAAAUUUUUAAUAAAAUUAAAUUAAUUGAAUUUUAAAGAGAUUUGAUUAAAAAUUAGGAUUAGAUACCCUAUUAUUAAAAAUAAAUUUAAUUAUAAAUAAAGUAAAUUUAAAGUAAUUAAAUUUAUAGAUUUGGCGGUAUUUUAUUUUAUUCAAAGGAAUUUGUUAAGUAAUUGAUAAUCCACAAUAAGAUUUACUUAAUUUUUAUAAUUUUUAUAUUUUUGUUUUAAAAAUUUUUUUUAAAAAUAAAUUUAAUAAUUUUAAUAAAAAAUUUAAUUCAAAUCAAUAUGAAGUUUAAUAUAAUUAAGGUUAAUAAUUAAUGAAUUACAAUAAAUUAAUAAUUUAAAAAAUAUAAAUUUUAAUAUUUAUUUUAAAUAGGAUUUGGAAGUAAAUUUUAUUAAAUUUUUAAGGUUGAUUUAAAUUUUAAAGUGUGUACAAAUUGCCCGUCAAUUUAAUUUAUUAUUAAAGAUUAAAUUUAAUUAAAUAAUAAAAAAAUUUUAUUUUAUUUAUAAAAUAAUAAAUUAAAAAUUUAAAUAAAAAUUAAAUAAGUCGUAACAUAGUAAAUGUACUGGAAAGUGUAUUUA